UCCGUUUGAUCCCGGCAGAGGAUGAACGCUGGCGGCGUGCCUAACACAUGCAAGUCGAACGAAGCACUUUCCUUGGAGAUUCGUCGAAGAGGGAUUUGACUUAGUGGCGGACGGGUGAGUAAUGUAUGAGCAACCUGCCUUUCGGAGGGGGACAACAGUUGGAAACGACUGCUAAUACCGCAUAAUGUAUCGAGGGGGCAUCCCUUUGAUACCAAAGGAGCAAUCCGCCGAAAGAUGGGCUCAUAUCUGAUUAGUUAGUUGGUGGGGUAACGGCUCACCAAGACUGCGAUCAGUAGCCGGACUGAGAGGUUGAACGGCCACAUUGGGACUGAGAUACGGCCCAGACUCCUACGGGAGGCAGCAGUGGGGAAUAUUGGGCAAUGGGCGAAAGCCUGACCCAGCAACGCCGCGUGAAGGAAGAAGGUCCUCGGAUUGUAAACUUCUUUUAUGAGGGACGAAGGAUGUGACGGUACCUCAUGAAUAAGCCACGGCUAACUACGUGCCAGCAGCCGCGGUAAUACGUAGGUGGCAAGCGUUAUCCGGAUUUACUGGGUGUAAAGGGCGCGUAGGCGGGGAUGCAAGUCAGAUGUGAAAUCUAUGGGCUUAACUCAUAAA
RNAcentral lists this ribosomal RNA (615 nucleotides) under uncultured bacterium. RNAcentral's name for it is "bacterial SSU rRNA". It matches the Rfam family "Bacterial small subunit ribosomal RNA", at positions 1 to 620 of the family's 1533-position model. The record is from RNAcentral.